GACGAACGCUGGCGGCGUGCUUAACACAUGCAAGUCGAACGGAAAGGCCCUGCUUUUGUGGGGUGCUCGAGUGGCGAACGGGUGAGUAACACGUGAGUAACCUGCCCUUGACUUUGGGAUAACUUCAGGAAACUGGGGCUAAUACCGGAUAGGAGCUCCUGCUGCAUGGUGGGGGUUGGAAAGUUUCGGCGGUUGGGGAUGGACUCGCGGCUUAUCAGCUUGUUGGUGGGGUAGUGGCUUACCAAGGCUUUGACGGGUAGCCGGCCUGAGAGGGUGACCGGCCACAUUGGGACUGAGAUACGGCCCAGACUCCUACGGGAGGCAGCAGUGGGGAAUAUUGCACAAUGGGCGGAAGCCUGAUGCAGCAACGCCGCGUGCGGGAUGACGGCCUUCGGGUUGUAAACCGCUUUCGCCUGUGACGAAGCGUGAGUGACGGUAAUGGGUAAAGAAGCACCGGCUAACUACGUGCCAGCAGCCGCGGUGAUACGUAGGGUGCGAGCGUUGUCCGGAUUUAUUGGGCGUAAAGGGCUCGUAGGUGGUUGAUCGCGUCGGAAGUGUAAUCUUGGGGCUUAACCCUGAGCGUGCUUUCGAUACGGGUUGACUUGAGGAAGGUAGGGGAGAAUGGAAUUCCUGGUGGAGCGGUGGAAUGCGCAGAUAUCAGGAGGAACACCAGUGGCGAAGGCGGUUCUCUGGGCCUUUCCUGACGCUGAGGAGCGAAAGCGUGGGGAGCGAACAGGCUUAGAUACCCUGGUAGUCCACGCUGUAAACGGUGGGUACUAGGUGUGGGGUCCAUUCCACGGGUUCCGUGCCGUAGCUAACGCUUUAAGUACCCCGCCUGGGGAGUACGGCCGCAAGGCUAAAACUCAAAGGAAUUGACGGGGCCCCGCACAAGCGGCGGAGCAUGCGGAUUAAUUCGAUGCAACGCGUAGAACCUUACCUGGGUUUGACAUGGAUCGGGAGCGCUCAGAGAUGGGUGUGCCUCUUUUGGGGUCGGUUCACAGGUGGUGCAUGGCUGUCGUCAGCUCGUGUCGUGAGAUGUUGGGUUAAGUCCCGCAACGAGCGCAACCCUUGUUCACUGUUGCCAGCACGUCAUGGUGGGGACUCAGUGGAGACCGCCGGGGUCAACUCGGAGGAAGGUGGGGAUGGCGUCAAGUCAUCAUGCCCCUUAUGUCCAGGGCUUCACGCAUGCUACAAUGGCUGGUACAGAGAGUGGCGAGCCUGUGAGGGUGAGCGAAUCUCGGAAAGCCGGUCUCAGUUCGGAUUGGGGUCUGCAACUCGACCUCAUGAAGUCGGAGUCGCUAGUAAUCGCAGAUCAGCAACGCUGCGGUGAAUACGUUCCCGGG
Molecule: ribosomal RNA, 1343 nt
Filed under: uncultured bacterium
Lineage: Bacteria
Description: 16S ribosomal RNA
Rfam family: Bacterial small subunit ribosomal RNA
Source: RNAcentral